UACGAGUGCCUCGAGCGUUAUCCGGAAUCACUGGGCGUAAAGGGUGUGUAGGCGGUUAUGUUAGUCUUUCGUUAAAAACCGGGGCUCAACCCCGGCGCUGCGGAGGAAACGGCAUAACUAGAGAAUGCGAGAGGUCUAUGGAACUCAUGGUGUAGGGGUGAAAUCCGUUGAUAUCAUGGGGAACACCAAAGGCGAAGGCAAUAGGCUGGCGCAUUUCUGACGCUGAAACACGAAAGCGUGGGUAGCGAAUGGG
Molecule: unclassified non-coding RNA, 253 nt
Filed under: uncultured Parcubacteria group bacterium
Lineage: Bacteria
Description: contains 16S-23S intergenic spacer region
Rfam family: Bacterial small subunit ribosomal RNA
Source: RNAcentral